AUGUCUGUGCAAGUGGCCUCGCCGGCGACGGCAGGAGAGAGGACCAUGGCCACGACGGCGUGGCCGUACCUGGAGUACAUGGCGCAGUGGGAGCGGCAGGUGGAGCGGCGGCAGCUGUUCCUCCGGAGCUACCACUUCUCCCGCGACGCCGAGGUCUCGCCGCGCGCGCGCACGCGCCGCGUCGUCUGGGCCGGGGCGCGACGCCUGCGCCGCGCCGCCGCGAAGGGGCUCCGCCGGCUCCGCGCGCGCAUCCGCCUCUGCUUCGGCUGGGCCGCGCCCGCGCUCCGCCGCCGCUCCUCGCCCCGCCGGGGCGGCGUCCACGGGUUCCGCUACGGCCGCAUCCCCCGCGGAAAGGCGCCGCCGGCCGCCGCCAGCGCCGCGUCCGUCUGCUUCUGGUAG
This 399-nucleotide ribosomal RNA is filed under the name Triticum aestivum (bread wheat). RNAcentral's name for it is "partial small subunit ribosomal RNA". The record is from RNAcentral. Lineage: Eukaryota; Viridiplantae; Streptophyta; Magnoliopsida; Poales; Poaceae.